RNAcentral lists this ribosomal RNA (585 nucleotides) under Helicosporium sp. NCYU-K1-1. Its description in RNAcentral is "eukaryotic LSU rRNA". The stretch from base 226 to 379 matches the Rfam family "5.8S ribosomal RNA". Lineage: Eukaryota; Fungi; Ascomycota; Dothideomycetes; Tubeufiales; Tubeufiaceae. The record is from RNAcentral.
AACAAGGUUUCCGUAGGUGAACCUGCGGAAGGAUCAUUACUGAGUACCGGGUCUCUCAGGCCCUUACUCCCACCCUUUGUGUACCUUACCACAUCUUCAGUUGCCUUGGCGGGACUUUCCCCCCUCGGACCCCCUAAAACCGGGUCCUUGGGCGGGUGCCCGCCAGGGGAACCCCCCAAAACUCUUUUGAAUUGGGUCGUCUGAGAACAAAACAUAAUAAAUUAAAACUUUCAACAACGGAUCUCUUGGUUCUGGCAUCGAUGAAGAACGCAGCGAAAUGCGAUAAGUAAUGUGAAUUGCAGAAUUCAGUGAAUCAUCGAAUCUUUGAACGCACAUUGCGCCCCUUGGUAUUCCGAGGGGCAUGCCUGUUCGAGCGUCAUUUCAACCCUCAAGCUUCUGCUUGGUAUUGGGCUCUCGUCCGCUAUACUGGACGUGCCUGAAACUCAUAGGCGGUUGUGCUCAGCUCCUUAGCGUAGUCAUUUCUUACCGCUCUGGAGGACUGGGUAUGGCCCGCCCGAGAACCCCCCAUAUUUCUCAAGGUUUGACCUCGGAUCAGGUAGGGAUACCCGCUGAACUUAAGCAUAU